RNAcentral lists this ribosomal RNA (467 nucleotides) under uncultured bacterium. RNAcentral's name for it is "partial 16S ribosomal RNA". It matches the Rfam family "Bacterial small subunit ribosomal RNA", at positions 339 to 795 of the family's 1533-position model. The record is from RNAcentral.
CUACGGGAGGCUCCAGUCGAGAAUAGUCUACAAUGGGGGAAACCCUGAUAGUGCGACGCCGCGUGGACGAAGAAGCAUUUCGGUGUGUAAAGUCCUUUUCUGUGAGAGCAAUGCGUUAGAGGUUAAGAGCUUUUAGCGAGAGAUAUUAUUACAGGAAUAAGCUCCGGCUAACUCCGUGGCCAGCAGCCGCGGUAACACGGGGGGAGCGAGCGUUGUCCGAAAUUACUAGGCGUAAAGGGUAAGUAGGUGGAAUUGUAAGUCAGAUGUUAAAGGCUUCGGCUCAACCGGAGUACGGCAUUUGAUACUGUGAUUCUAGAGUAAGGUGGGGGAAGACGGAAUUCCUGGUGUAGCGGUGGAAUGCGCAGAUAUCAGGAGGAACACCAGAGGCGAAGGCGGUCUUCUAUACCAUUACUGACGCUCAAUUACGAAGGUGUGGGUAUCAAACAGGAUUAGAUACCCUCGUAGUC